UACAGAGGGUGCAAGCGUUAAUCGGAAUUACUGGGCGUAAAGCGUGCGCAGGCGGUUUUUUAAGCCAGAUGUGAAAUCCCCGGGCUUAACCUGGGAAUGGCAUUUGGGACUGCAAGGCUUGAGUGCGGCAGAGGAGACUAGAAUUCCUGGUGUAGCAGUGAAAUGCGUAGAUAUCAGGAGGAAUACCGAUGGCGAAGGCAGGUCUCUGGGCUGACACUGACGCUCAUG
Molecule: ribosomal RNA, 228 nt
Filed under: uncultured prokaryote
Description: partial 16S ribosomal RNA
Rfam family: Bacterial small subunit ribosomal RNA
Source: RNAcentral